RNAcentral lists this unclassified non-coding RNA (329 nucleotides) under soil metagenome. RNAcentral's name for it is "partial contains 5.8S ribosomal RNA, internal transcribed spacer 2, and large subunit ribosomal RNA". The stretch from base 1 to 120 matches the Rfam family "5.8S ribosomal RNA", at positions 35 to 154 of the family's 154-position model. The record is from RNAcentral.
GAUGAAGAACGUAGCGAAAUGCGAUAAGUAAUGUGAAUUGUAGAAUUCAGUGAAUCAUCGAAUCUUUGAACGCACAUUGCGCCCCUUGGUAUUCUGAGGGGCAUGCCUGUUCGAGCGUCAUUAUAACCCCUCAAGCUCAGCUUGGUGUUGGGGCCUGCUGCACUGGCAGCCCUUAAAAUCAGUGGCGGCGCCAUCUGGCUCUAAGCGUAGUAAUUCUUCUCGCUAUGGAGUCCUGGUGGAUGCUUGCCAUCAACCCCCAAUUUUUCUAUGGUUGACCUCGGAUCAGGUAGGGAUACCCGCUGAACUUAAGCAUAUCAAUAAGCGGAGGA